UGUUUUGUGCUUUUGGGAUAUACCUGAAAGCGUGCCUGCUUUAGUGUCUAU
Molecule: ribosomal RNA, 51 nt
Filed under: uncultured dinophysoid
Lineage: Eukaryota; Dinophyceae; Dinophysales; Dinophysaceae
Description: partial 5.8S ribosomal RNA
Source: RNAcentral